UCCAGACUCCUACGGGAGGCAGCAGUGGGGAAUAUUGCACAAUGGGGGAAACCCUGAUGUAGCGACGCCGCGUGAAGGACGAAGUAUUUCGGUACGUAAACUUCUAUCAGCAGGGAAGAAAAUGACGGUACCUGACCAAGAAGCCCCGGCUAACUACGUGCCAGCAGCCGCGGUAAUACGUAGGGGGCAAGCGUUAUCCGGAUUUACUGGGUGUAAGGGGAGCGUAGACGGCCAUGCAAGUCUGAUGUGAAAACCCGGGGCUCAACCCCGGGACUGCAUUGGAAACUGUGCGGCCGGAGUGUCGGAGAGGCAAGUGGAAUUCCUAGUGUAGCGGUGAAAUGCGUAGAUAUUAGGAGGAACACCAGUGGCGAAGGCGGCUUGCUGGACGACGACUGACGUUGAGGCUCGAAAGCGUGGGGAGCAAACAGGAUUAGAUACCCUUGUA
RNAcentral lists this ribosomal RNA (445 nucleotides) under uncultured bacterium. RNAcentral describes it as "bacterial SSU rRNA". It matches the Rfam family "Bacterial small subunit ribosomal RNA", at positions 330 to 792 of the family's 1533-position model. The record is from RNAcentral.